This 354-nucleotide long non-coding RNA is filed under the name Solanum tuberosum (potato). RNAcentral describes it as "long non-coding RNA (STUB_LNC002011)". Lineage: Eukaryota; Viridiplantae; Streptophyta; Magnoliopsida; Solanales; Solanaceae. The record is from RNAcentral.
UAACAUUGAAAUUGCAAAUAUUGUCUUGAAUCAAAGUUGAAAUUAUAUAUACUCCUUGUAAUAAGUGUCUUACUUAUAUCUAUUCAUUUCUUUGAAAUUGUACCACAGUAAAAAUUUCCAAUUGUGACCUUUAGUAGUGUUGUAAAGUAACAUAAAAAUUGGGGCAAUUCAAAAAAGAGUUGAAAACACAAGGGUAGUCCAAUUAAGAUAUUUUAUGCUAUUAGAUAUCAAAGGCCCGUGAAUUUCUCUGCCUUUUGUACUCUCUUAUUGUUUAAGCAAACAAAAAUAAGAGUACUCUCUCAAAUUGUAUUUAAGUGCUUUAAUAUUAAGUAAAAUUUUACAUUUAAUUUGUAA